Molecule: transfer RNA, 70 nt
Filed under: Danionella translucida
Lineage: Eukaryota; Metazoa; Chordata; Actinopteri; Cypriniformes; Danionidae
Also listed under: 1 other name
Rfam family: tRNA
About the family: Transfer RNA (tRNA) molecules are approximately 80 nucleotides in length.
Source: Rfam by way of RNAcentral
UUCCCUGUGGCUCAGUUGGUAGAGCAUUGCGAUAACAAAGCAAAGGCUGUGGGUUCAUAUCCCAGGGAAA